RNAcentral lists this ribosomal RNA (496 nucleotides) under uncultured bacterium. RNAcentral's name for it is "bacterial SSU rRNA". It matches the Rfam family "Bacterial small subunit ribosomal RNA", at positions 370 to 884 of the family's 1533-position model. The record is from RNAcentral.
AAUGGGGGCAACCCUGAUCCAGCAAUGCCGCGUGGGUGAUGAAGGCCUUCGGGUUGUAAAGCCCUUUCGGCGGGGAAGAUGAUGACGGUACCCGCAGAAGAAGCCCCGGCUAACUUCGUGCCAGCAGCCGCGGUAAUACGAAGGGGGCUAGCGUUGUUCGGAAUUACUGGGCGUAAAGGGCGCGUAGGCUGUGCUGCAAGUCAGGCGUGAAAGGCCCGGGCUCAACCUGGGAACUGCGCAUGAUACUGCGGCGCUUGAAGGCGGGAGAGGAUGGCGGAAUUCCCAGUGUAGAGGUGAAAUUCGUAGAUAUUGGGAAGAACACCGGUGGCGAAGGCGGCCAUCUGGCCCGUGAUUGACGCUGAGGCGCGAAAGCGUGGGGAGCAAACAGGAUUAGAUACCCUGGUAGUCCACGCUGUAAACGAUGAGUGCUAGACGUCGGGGAGCUUGCUCUUCGGUGUCGCCGCUAACGCAUUAAGCACUCCGCCUGGGGAGUACG